This 1395-nucleotide ribosomal RNA is filed under the name Pediococcus pentosaceus. RNAcentral describes it as "bacterial SSU rRNA". It matches the Rfam family "Bacterial small subunit ribosomal RNA". Lineage: Bacteria; Bacillati; Bacillota; Bacilli; Lactobacillales; Lactobacillaceae. The record is from RNAcentral.
UUUAACACGAAGUGAGUGGCGAACGGGUGAGUAACACGUGGGUAACCUGCCCAGAAGUAGGGGAUAACACCUGGAAACAGAUGCUAAUACCGUAUAACAGAGAAAACCGCAUGGUUUUCUUUUAAAAGAUGGCUCUGCUAUCACUUCUGGAUGGACCCGCGGCGUAUUAGCUAGUUGGUGAGGUAAAGGCUCACCAAGGCAGUGAUACGUAGCCGACCUGAGAGGGUAAUCGGCCACAUUGGGACUGAGACACGGCCCAGACUCCUACGGGAGGCAGCAGUAGGGAAUCUUCCACAAUGGACGCAAGUCUGAUGGAGCAACGCCGCGUGAGUGAAGAAGGGUUUCGGCUCGUAAAGCUCUGUUGUUAAAGAAGAACGUGGGUAAGAGUAACUGUUUACCCAGUGACGGUAUUUAACCAGAAAGCCACGGCUAACUACGUGCCAGCAGCCGCGGUAAUACGUAGGUGGCAAGCGUUAUCCGGAUUUAUUGGGCGUAAAGCGAGCGCAGGCGGUCUUUUAAGUCUAAUGUGAAAGCCUUCGGCUCAACCGAAGAAGUGCAUUGGAAACUGGGAGACUUGAGUGCAGAAGAGGACAGUGGAACUCCAUGUGUAGCGGUGAAAUGCGUAGAUAUAUGGAAGAACACCAGUGGCGAAGGCGGCUGUCUGGUCUGCAACUGACGCUGAGGCUCGAAAGCAUGGGUAGCGAACAGGAUUAGAUACCCUGGUAGUCCAUGCCGUAAACGAUGAUUACUAAGUGUUGGAGGGUUUCCGCCCUUCAGUGCUGCAGCUAACGCAUUAAGUAAUCCGCCUGGGGAGUACGACCGCAAGGUUGAAACUCAAAAGAAUUGACGGGGGCCCGCACAAGCGGUGGAGCAUGUGGUUUAAUUCGAAGCUACGCGAAGAACCUUACCAGGUCUUGACAUCUUCUGACAGUCUAAGAGAUUAGAGGUUCCCUUCGGGGACAGAAUGACAGGUGGUGCAUGGUUGUCGUCAGCUCGUGUCGUGAGAUGUUGGGUUAAGUCCCGCAACGAGCGCAACCCUUAUUACUAGUUGCCAGCAUUAAGUUGGGCACUCUAGUGAGACUGCCGGUGACAAACCGGAGGAAGGUGGGGACGACGUCAAAUCAUCAUGCCCCUUAUGACCUGGGCUACACACGUGCUACAAUGGAUGGUACAACGAGUCGCGAGACCGCGAGGUUAAGCUAAUCUCUUAAAACCAUUCUCAGUUCGGACUGUAGGCUGCAACUCGCCUACACGAAGUCGGAAUCGCUAGUAAUCGCGGAUCAGCAUGCCGCGGUGAAUACGUUCCCGGGCCUUGUACACACCGCCCGUCACACCAUGAGAGUUUGUAACACCCAAAGCCGGUGGGGUAACCUUUUAGGAGCUAGCCGUCUAAGG